Molecule: ribosomal RNA, 932 nt
Filed under: Hypnophila sp. EHUMC-2063
Lineage: Eukaryota; Metazoa; Mollusca; Gastropoda; Stylommatophora; Azecidae
Description: partial 16S ribosomal RNA
Rfam family: Archaeal large subunit ribosomal RNA (bases 386-647)
Source: RNAcentral
UUAACAAUGAUAUUAAGUUUAUACAAUUUCCCGAAUUAUUAAGAUCUAAUUAUAGUUUUAGUAAUAGCUUAAAAUUAAUAAUCUUAUUGUUACAUAAAUAUAUAAUAAAUUAUAAUUAGGGAUGAAAAGUCUUCAAUUAAUAGGAUAUCUGGAUUUAAGUUAAAUAUAUGUAGUAUAAUUUGAGACAUACUUAAGGCUAUAAGGUCUUAGGUAGAAAAAUAUCUAAUUUUUUUUAAAAAUUUCCUAGAUUUAAUAAAUUAUUAGGUUGCUAUGCUAUAUUCACUACAAAAUAGGAUCUGUUUUACUAUUUUAAUAUUUGACUAUUUUUUAAGUAACUUAACAAUAGAAAAAAUUUAUUUUAUAUUAGAUUCUGUUACUAUUAGUAUAUAUAAAAAAAUUUGUAAAAAGAACUCGGCAAAUAUAUCUAUUAUUAUUUCGGACUGUUUAUCAAAAACAUAGCUUAAAGAAAAUAAAUUUUAAGUGAUCCCUGCCCAGUGAGUUUAAAUUUAACGGCCGCAGUACAUUGACUGUGCUAAGGUAGCAUAAUAAUUUGGCUUUUAAUUGAAGUCUAGAAUGAAAGGGUUAACUAGGAAUAUACUGUUUCUUGGAAAUUUUAUAUAAGUUGCUUAUUGAGUGAAAAUUCUCAAAUUAUUAUAAGAAAGACGAGAAGACCCUUAGAAUUUUUCUAUAUAAAAUAAUAAUUAGGUUUAUUUAUAGUUUGGUUGGGGCAACCAUUAAACAAAUAAAUUUUUACAAAUUAUUUUAAUCACAUAUAUAAUAAUAUUAAAUCUGAAUAAAUUACCUAAGGGAUAACAGCAUAAUUAAUUAAAUAGAUUGUGACCUCGAUGUUGGACUAGGUAAAAUUAUUAGUAAACCACUAUUAAUACUGUUCUGUUCGAACAUUGAACACCUACAUGAUCUGAGUCAGACGG